AAGAAGAAGUGAGAGACCCUUAACGGGUCCGACCUAACGGGUCUGAUCCGGGUACGGAUCCGAACCUGUUAGGCCCAAAUAAAAUAAAAAAAAAAGGGUUUAGCCAAAUUUGAUUAAAACCGAGCCCAGUCAGAUUAGGCUAAGUCCGGACGAACCCAAACUAUAAAUUGGGUUAAAUCCGAACCAAAUUAAACCCAAUUGAGUUGGAUAUGAACCUAAUUAAGCUGAGUUAGUCUCAGCAGACCCAAAUUGAAUAUGAAUCAAGCCCAAUUCAAAACCAGUUUAACUAAAUUGAGACCGAAUUGACUUUGGGCUGACCCUGACUCAAGCCUAGAUGAGCCACAUUGACCCUGGACCAAAAUUAAACUUAAUUGGACUUGAAAUUGAGCCCAAUAACAUAAUCAGAAGACCAAAUUGACCCGAUAGGGCUAGACCCAAUCAGGAACCGAGCCCAAUUCUUUAAUUAAAGACCCAAUUGACCUACGUGAACCCAAUCUGGUUCUAAAUCGAGGCCAAGGGCUCUAAAUUAAAUAAAUUGGACUUGAGAUCCAAGCAAGUAAAUUCAUGUUAUGAUAAAUUAGAAAAUUAUGAAAUAAAUAGAGAAUAAUGUGACCCCUAUGUGAUUUAUUUAGGUGAUCAAGGAUUUGUCACCCGGACGUAAGAAAUUGGAAAGCAUAUUGCUAUGAUUAAGACCACUAGGAGCAGGGAGCUUGAUGUUAUUCAGGGUUGGGGUAAUUGAAAAUGUUAUGUAAUAAUCAGAUUUUAGAAGCUCUGUACUGUUCCAACUUCUUCACUAAUGUUAUGACAUUAGUAAAUGAAACUAUUUAUUUUUAUUAUGAAAUUUUA
Phoenix dactylifera (date palm) is the source of this 846-nucleotide non-coding RNA. The record is from RefSeq and is a predicted model, not a curated record. Lineage: Eukaryota; Viridiplantae; Streptophyta; Magnoliopsida; Arecales; Arecaceae.